GGUAGAGAAUAGCCUCUGGAGUUCUCGUGACUUCCUGUGGAGAGGGCUAGAGUUCAGUUCGAUCCUGGAGCUUGAGCUUGGAGGAGCCCCACAGACAGCUGUCCUUCAGACAGGUCAUGGAACAGGGAGCCUCACCUAGGAUAUGAUAAUCACUUCAAAUCUCAUCACCAUGUUGAUUGACUCAGUUUCCAAUACUCAAAAUUUUCUCAACUUCCUCAAUUGUCUCUUCCAAAGACUGGAGGGCUUGACAUCAGUAAACACAGCCAUGUGGUUUGGAAUGAGUGGCAGCAGGGGGAAGAAAGGAAAGAGGGACCAGAUGUCAGAACCAGGCAUACAGCAGAAAAAAGGAGAAAAGACUCCCAAAACGAGUUCAUGCCCAGAAAAAAGAAGAAGGUGAUUAGGAAUACAAAUGCCUUUGGUUGCAUUUCUCUUCAACCAUGUCAGCAAUGGCGAACAUUGUCAGAGGUAGCAGAGGCAUGUCAUUGCCACACAGAGCAAGCAUCUAGAAAGCCGUGGGACUUGCCACAGAGUAAAAUGGCGCCCUUAAAGAUUCUGCCCCUGUUAUUCUGCCCUCUCUGCUGUGUGAAUCUCAAAUGAAUGGGCCUUCAUUGCUUCCAUGAAAGACUUUGACUGACCAUAAAAUUCAGCACACUUUCCCUAUUUUUUUGCAUCAUCUUCACGCCAUUGUUACUCAAAAUAAUGUGUUCUUUUGCUGUUGAUAAAUAGCUGUAAAUCCCCAUUAGACUGGGCUGCAUUUAUAUUUGACAGGUUUCUUUUUCUCUGGAUUUUAUUGAUAGUUUUGGAAGAUCUGCCUCACCUUAGUUUGCCUCUUGUCCUCAUAAAGACCUGCCUCUUCCUGAAAGUGAUUUCUUUGCCUCUCUCUCCUCUAAACCUCUACUGACCCUCUCACCCA
RNAcentral lists this long non-coding RNA (913 nucleotides) under Monodelphis domestica (gray short-tailed opossum). RNAcentral's name for it is "lncRNA (ENSMODG00000043450.1)". Lineage: Eukaryota; Metazoa; Chordata; Mammalia; Didelphimorphia; Didelphidae. The record is from RNAcentral.